Long non-coding RNA from Sparus aurata (gilthead seabream), 918 nucleotides. The record is from Ensembl. NCBI's taxonomy places the organism in Eukaryota, Metazoa, Chordata, Actinopteri, Spariformes, Sparidae.
UCUUUUUUGUUUUUCUGUCCUCUAUCUGUUCGUCUUUCACACUUUCAAUGUGCAGGAGGAGAAAUGAAGAGAAACAACACAACAAUUGAAUAUUGUAAAUUGACAAAAGCGAGGUGUGUGUGUGUGUGUGUGUGUGUGUGUGCGUGCAGGUAUGAAUGAUGAGUGACCAAGAAAAGAAGAAAAUUAGAGAAAGGAAAAGUAGAGUGAUAAAUACAUCAAGAUAAUUGUUGAAAGAUGUGUGGAGGUGUUGGACUGGUAGAGAGCAACACACACAUAUACACGCACACCAUGCGGUGUGGGGGGAGGAGAGAGACAUUCUAGUUAAGACUGCCUUCAUGGAUCACUCUCACUUCCAUAGAGAGGGGCAACUUUAUUGAGCGCUAGAGCCAGAGAAGAAAAAGCAUGGUGCAAAAUGAAGGACAAGUUGUUGUUUCUUGAAGAAAAAUGCAGAGAAAUUUAAAGAGAGCAGUAGAGUUAGAGAAGAGGGCUUGGAGAACCCGAGAGGGGAGGAGAGAGGGAGAGAGAGAGAGAGUGAGAAAGAGGGGAAGGGGGAGAAAGACAAGAAGAGAAGCAGAGAGACAGACAGAUGGAGGAGAAGCAUGCAGCAGCAGAGAGGAGGAGAAACAAAGCGUGUUGACUGAGGAAGUGUGCAUGCCAUGCGGGCCAUGUGCUCAGCCUGAACUCUUCAUGAUACGUAUCACGGAGAAGACAGCAGAGUGUGAUCGAGGGCUCCUGUCCUGCUGUGUGUGAAAUUCUCCUGGACCAGCUCCUCAGUCAAAUGCCACCCAGCCUCCAGCACCUUUGCCACUCUGCACUCUCUGGAUUUCCCUGAGCACACAACCUGCACCACUGUGAGUCUCCUCCAUUUCCUCACAUGGAGCCACCUGUCAGAGUCAGAGCUCUUCACCUUGACCAGCC